Molecule: ribosomal RNA, 775 nt
Filed under: uncultured Neocallimastigales
Lineage: Eukaryota; Fungi; Neocallimastigomycota; Neocallimastigomycetes; Neocallimastigales
Description: partial large subunit ribosomal RNA
Rfam family: Eukaryotic large subunit ribosomal RNA
Source: RNAcentral
GAGAUGUGUGAUGACGCAUAUCAAUAAGCGGAGGAAAAGAAACUAACAAGGAUUCCCUUAGUAACGGCGAGUGAAGCGGGAAGAGCUCAAAUUUGAAAUCUUCAAGGUUUUACCUUGACGAAUUGUAGUUUAAAGAAGUGUUUUCUGUUGAAGUUUCGGUAAAAGUUCUUUGGAAUAGGACAUCAUAGAGGGUGAGAAUCCCGUAUUUGACCGUUAUUUUCAGCUGUGUGAUACACUUUCAAAGAGUCGGAUUGUUUGGGAAUGCAGUCCAAAAUGGGUGGUAAAUUUCAUCUAAAGCUAAAUAUUGGCGAGAGACCGAUAGCGAACAAGUACCGUGAGGGAAAGAUGAAAAGAACUUUGAAAAGAGAGUUAAACAGUACGUGAAAUUGUCAAAAGGGAAGCGUUUGACACCAGUGUUGUUUUCUCGAAAAUCAAUUAAAAAUAACUUGAUUUUGUGUUGUAUUGACCUUAAAAGCUUUCUUCACUCUUUUCCUGUUAUUUUUAAUGCACUUUUCGUUUAACAAGUCAACAUCAGUUUCUUUUGUUGUAAAAAGGUCAUUGGAAGGUGGCUUUCUUUUCGGAGAAAGUGUUUAUAGCCUUUGACUCCUGCAAUCGGAGAGACUGAGGUCUGCAGCGUAGAUCCUUUUUUGGAUUAGAUUCAUUUGUGCUAAGUUAUAGCUUUUUAUAGACAACAUGUUGACUAUAUUUAGUCUUGUAGCUUACUCGCUUAUGCUAUUUUACCUACGCUUAGGAUGUUGACAGCAGUAUAGACUGU